AAAAAAAAAAUUCACAGUCUCCUUAACCCAUCUCACCUUUUCCUCCUUCUUAACCCAUCUCACUUUUCCUCCUUCGCCCAUCUUAGAACGACCUAGGUUUUUCUCUAGGGUUUGGGACCGCUCCGGCGCCAGCCUCCUGAAUUCGCUCCAUUUCGGUGUGGUGGUCAGUGGAGCAAUGGAGGAAGGUCGAGGGAUCGAGCCUCCUUUCUCGAGCGGCCAUGAGGACGAUGAAGGUAGCUCUGUGAUCGAGUCUUCUUUCUCGAGGAUUGUCGCUCUCGAACCUUCAAGUGAUCCCAAGAGUGUCGAGACUAGGGAUUCGGAGAAAUCCACCAAAGAAGACGAUGAGGG
This is a long non-coding RNA of Dioscorea cayenensis subsp. rotundata (Guinea yam), 348 nucleotides long. RefSeq lists it as uncharacterized. The record is from RefSeq and is a predicted model, not a curated record. Lineage: Eukaryota; Viridiplantae; Streptophyta; Magnoliopsida; Dioscoreales; Dioscoreaceae. The transcript is spliced from 3 exons.